Molecule: ribosomal RNA, 502 nt
Filed under: unidentified oral bacterium SH20
Lineage: Bacteria
Also listed under: 1 other name
Description: bacterial SSU rRNA
Rfam family: Bacterial small subunit ribosomal RNA
Source: RNAcentral
AACACAUGCAAGUCGAACGAAGAGCGAUGGAAGCUUGCUUCUAUCAAUCUUAGUGGCGAACGGGUGAGUAACGCGUAAUCAACCUGCCCUUCAGAGGGGGACAACAGUUGGAAACGACUGCUAAUACCGCAUACGAUCUAACCUCGGCAUCGAGGAUAGAUGAAAGGUGGCCUCUAUUUAUAAGCUAUCACUGAAGGAGGGGAUUGCGUCUGAUUAGCUAGUUGGAGGGGUAACGGCCCACCAAGGCGAUGAUCAGUAGCCGGUCUGAGAGGAUGAACGGCCACAUUGGGACUGAGACACGGCCCAGACUCCUACGGGAGGCAGCAGUGGGGAAUCUUCCGCAAUGGACGAAAGUCUGACGGAGCAACGCCGCGUGAGUGAUGACGGCCUUCGGGUUGUAAAGCUCUGUUAAUCGGGACGAAAGGCCUUCUUGCGAAUAGUUAGAAGGAUUGACGGUACCGGAAUAGAAAGCCACGGCUAACUACGUGCCAGCAGCCGCGGU